Molecule: ribosomal RNA, 468 nt
Filed under: uncultured bacterium
Lineage: Bacteria
Description: partial 16S ribosomal RNA
Rfam family: Bacterial small subunit ribosomal RNA
Source: RNAcentral
GACGAACGCUGGCGGCGUGCUUAAUACAUGCAAGUCGAACGGACAGGCCCGGAUCUUGUGGGUCUGACGUUAGGCGCACAGGUGAGUAUAACGCGUGUAUACUGUCCCUAACUUUCGGGUAUCUUUUCGAGACAGGGGCUCUAAUCCGGUAGGAUAUAUUGCAGCACGGUGGGGAAUGGUAAGAUUCGGCGGUUGGGUCUGGAAUAGCGGCUUAUCCGCUUGUUGGUGGGGUAGUGGCUUACCAAGGUUAUGACGGGUAGCCGGCCUGAGAGGGUGACCGGCCACAUUGGGACUGAGAUACGGCCCAGACUCCUACGGGAGGCAGCAGUGGGGAAUAUUGCACAAUGGGCGGAAGCCUGAUGCAGCAACGCCGCGUGCGGGAUGACGGCCUUCGGGUUGUAAACCGCUUUCGCCUGUGACGAAGCGUGAGUGACGGUAAUGGGUAAAGAAGCACCGGCUAACUACGUG